AUUGAACGCUGGCGGCAGGCCUAACACAUGCAAGUCGAACGGUAACAGAAAGCAGCUUGCUGCUUUGCUGACGAGUGGCGGACGGGUGAGUAAUGUCUGGGAAACUGCCUGAUGGAGGGGGAUAACUACUGGAAACGGUAGCUAAUACCGCAUAACGUCGCAAGACCAAAGAGGGGGACCUUCGGGCCUCUUGCCAUCGGAUGUGCCCAGAUGGGAUUAGCUUGUUGGUGGGGUAACGGCUCACCAAGGCGACGAUCCCUAGCUGGUCUGAGAGGAUGACCAGCCACACUGGAACUGAGACACGGUCCAGACUCCUACGGGAGGCAGCAGUGGGGAAUAUUGCACAAUGGGCGCAAGCCUGAUGCAGCCAUGCCGCGUGUAUGAAGAAGGCCUUCGGGUUGUAAAGUACUUUCAGCGGGGAGGAAGGGAGUAAAGUUAAUACCUUUGCUCAUUGACGUAC
Molecule: ribosomal RNA, 460 nt
Filed under: uncultured bacterium
Lineage: Bacteria
Description: bacterial SSU rRNA
Rfam family: Bacterial small subunit ribosomal RNA
Source: RNAcentral